CCCUUAGAUGUCCUGGGCCGCACGCGCGCUACACUGAUGCAUGCAACGAGUUUAUAACCUUGGCCUGAAAGGUCUGGGUAAUCUUUUGAACGUGCAUCGUGAUAGGGAUAGAUUAUUGCAAUUGUUAAUCUUGAACGAGGAAUUCCUAGUAAACGCGAGUCAUCAGCUCGCAUUGAUUACGUCCCUGCCCUUUGUACACACCGCCCGUCGCACCUACCGAUUGAAUGGUUCGGUGAAGAUCUCGGACUUCGAUAUUUAUUCUUUAUUGAGUUUAUAUUGUGGGAAGUUAUCUAAACCUCAUCAUUUAGAGGAAGGUGUAGUCGUAACA
RNAcentral lists this ribosomal RNA (328 nucleotides) under uncultured eukaryote. Its description in RNAcentral is "partial 18S ribosomal RNA". It matches the Rfam family "Eukaryotic small subunit ribosomal RNA", at positions 1470 to 1796 of the family's 1831-position model. The record is from RNAcentral.